Molecule: ribosomal RNA, 301 nt
Filed under: uncultured bacterium
Lineage: Bacteria
Description: partial 16S ribosomal RNA
Rfam family: Bacterial small subunit ribosomal RNA
Source: RNAcentral
CAGCCGCCGCGGGAAUACGUAGGUGGCAAGCGUUGUCCGGAAUUAUUGGGCGUAAAGGGCUCGCAGGCGGUUUCUUAAGUCUGAUGUGAAAGCCCCCGGCUCAACCGGGGAGGGUCAUUGGAAACUGAGAAACUUGAGUGCAGAAGAGGAGAGUGGAAUUCCACGUGUAGCGGUGAAAUGCGUAGAGAUGUGGAGGAACACCAGUGGCGAAGGCGACUCUCUGGUCUGUAACUGACGCUGAGGAGCGAAAGCGUGGGGAGCGAACAGGAUUAGAUACCCCCGUAGUCCCUGUCUCUUAUAC